RNAcentral lists this ribosomal RNA (253 nucleotides) under uncultured bacterium. Its description in RNAcentral is "partial 16S ribosomal RNA". It matches the Rfam family "Bacterial small subunit ribosomal RNA", at positions 524 to 776 of the family's 1533-position model. The record is from RNAcentral.
UACGUAGGGGGCAAGCGUUGUCCGGAAUCAUUGGGCGUAAAGAGCGUGUAGGCGGUCCGGUAAGUCGGCUGUGAAAGUCCAGGGCUCAACCCUGGGAUGCCGGUCGAUACUGCCGGACUAGAGUUCGGAAGAGGCGAGUGGAAUUCCUGGUGUAGCGGUGAAAUGCGCAGAUAUCCGAAGGAACAUCAGUGGCGAAAGCGGCUUCCUGGACCAGAACUGACGAUCAGGCACGAAAGCGUGGGGAGCAAACAGG